Molecule: long non-coding RNA, 339 nt
Filed under: Oryza brachyantha (malo sina)
Lineage: Eukaryota; Viridiplantae; Streptophyta; Magnoliopsida; Poales; Poaceae
Description: long non-coding RNA (OBRA_LNC000483)
Source: RNAcentral
AGAAGAGAACCGAGUAGAGCUCGGGUGGUUAGCCGCGCAUGCGCACGUGCAACCCGCGCAAGUUCGAUCCCUGUGAUUGUAACUCGCGCAUCUCAUCCGGCGAUUUUUCCCUCACACGCGUGCGUACCCCAAAAUCCUAAGCUUGUGGUAGGGACGCGCACGCGUGUGUACAUGCGUUGUGGUAUGUGUUCAUGUGUGUCCCGAGGUGUUUAGUUGGAGAAAAGAAAAUUUUUAGGUGUGACGUUAGAUAUUUGACCGGAUGUCAGAAGGUGUUUUCGGACACGAAUGAAAAAACAAAUUUCAUGACUAGCCUAGAAACCGCGAGAUGAAUCUUUUGAG